This is a long non-coding RNA of Mus musculus (house mouse), 2154 nucleotides long. RefSeq annotates it as predicted gene, 31684. The transcript is spliced from 2 exons. Lineage: Eukaryota; Metazoa; Chordata; Mammalia; Rodentia; Muridae. The record is from RefSeq and is a predicted model, not a curated record.
GCCCCAAACGGAUCAACUCUUAACUGAUAACAUCGUGCUCUGUGUUUGUUUCCUAAAGUGCUUCCUGCUUGACAGGUGGUGUUUCUCAAAGCCCCCAGUAGUAAACGAGGUGUCACUAUCCCCACACCCCUAGACAGGGUCAACCGUAGGCCGAUCUGUUCACAGUGAAAGUCAGUUCACAAAUGUAUGUGUAAAACGCAUUGAGCACAAAAGGAGGAAGACAGAAAGCGUUGACAGAAGCCAUGUGGGGCUGCGGCUCCAGGAGGGAUGGCUUGAGGAGAAGCCAGCCAGAGAGGGGACUUGGCAGGGAGACCAGAUUGUAUUUCACUUGGAAGAGUGUGUGGCUGGGUGGGAAUUACAUCUAUGCCUCUUUCUAAACCUUAGCGCUCAGUCAGCCCCUCUUGUGAGCCAGGCCAUAGCGCUACUCACACACACACCAGGGGACUAAGACUCGGUCCAGGUGUUUCUGUAGGUCCUAGGACCACGGAGAUGAGACACAGGUGGCAAGGAGGUGCCCAACUUUUUAGAGCAGGAGCGGCAUGGACAUGAGGAUGUGGUCUGGUGUAGUCAGUAGACACUGACUAACAACGCAGCGCUCCCAGCCCGCCCAGAUCUUUUCUUCCAUGGGGUCGGAAAAUAUUCACAAGAGGGAAAAAAUCUUGGCCUGGAUGUGUAUCUGAAGGUUGGGAAUGACACGCUUGCAAAAUUAGAUCAUCCUUAUGCACUGGCUGUGGAAGUUCCUGCCAGAAAGACUUAUACAAGACUCAGACAGGGUCACUCCAAGGUGCUUGGAACCCAGUUCCCAUGGAGAUUCCUAAGCCGAUGAUGUGUUUACUAUCAUCUGCAACAAAACGUCAAUGACAGCAUCUUUAAGGAAAUAAUAGUUACAUUCUAGCACAGUAGCUAGAUAAUGCCGUUAUCAUGUGCCUGAGUGUAAUAAUCAAACAAUUAAAAUUAUAUAUAUUUUUUGUUUUUUUAAUAGAAUUUUCUUCUUAGGCAGUGAUUCUCAACCUCUGGGUCUCAACCCCCUUUGUGGGGUUAAGUAUCAGAUAUCCUGUAUAUCAGAUAUCUACAUUAUAAUUACAUACAUUACAUAAGAGUGAAAAAUUAACGUUAGGAAGUAGCAACAAAAUGAUUUUAUGGUUGGGGGUCGCCACAGCAUGAAGAACUGUAUUAAAGAGUUGCGUGCGUGCGGCGGGAGGAAGGUUGCUGGGCACUCCUUCAGCCCUCUUUCUCAGCUGUUACCUGAUCAUCUUCUGGGAAUAGAAAAAUUAAAAGAUCUGGAUUUUUUUAAAUGCCGUGUGGCCACCAAUGAUACAUUUGACUGAUGUACACCCAGUGUUCUUAGUCAGGCACGAAAGUACGGCUCGUGAAUCCAGUUGCAGUAAACCGGGGCAGGAGACUGAGGCAGAGACCUUAGAGGGGCUCUGCUCACUGGCUUGCUCAAGAGCUAAGCCCAGAACCACUGGCCCUCGGGCGAUUCCUCUCAUAGCAAUCUUUAGUCAAGAAAAUGCCCCCAGACACUAGCCUACAGGCUGGUCUAAGAGACUCGACUGUUGCUCAGUAGAAUCCCUCUUCCCAGUGCCCUAGUCAUGUGUCAAGUUGACCAAUAAAACCAAACAAAAACAGCACACACAUAAAGUUGAAAUAUGUAAGAGUAUUUUUGUAAUAAAUUCUCCUUUGUGUGCUGGUGGUCACAUGACACAGCAUUUCACUCUAGUUCCAGAAGUUAGCUUUAGUCCUCACUGUGAAGGAAGUAAAAAGACCUCCUCUGUUUGUGCUGUCAGCUCUUCAAAUGUCGUUUCCCUCACCCUGAUAGAAAGGACUGGAGGAGUCAGAACGCACGUGCUAACAGCAGCAUAGGACAUUUAACCCUUGGUGGUUUUCCUGGGCCAGGUGGACAGAAAGCCUUCUGUUUGCCUCAGAGCAUUUGCGGAGCCCAGAGCGAGUGUUUAUGAACGUGCCACGCCUUCCGCCUUCCUGUGCACACAGCCCCACCUGUGGUCUGAGAGCGCUUAAGUGGCCUGUCACAGAUGCACCUUGUUUUCCUGUUCAUCAGCAGAGACUUCCUGUUCCUGUCAGUUGUCCCACCCACUUACUGUCUUGUGAAGAGAACUCAUCAAAACUGUACCUAAUAAAAUAUGAAACUGUUAA